GCAUCAUUGGUCUAAUGGUUAGGAUUGCUGCCUUCCAAGCAGCCGGUUCGGGUUCGAUUCCCGAAUGAUGCA
This 72-nucleotide transfer RNA is filed under the name Dactylellina haptotyla CBS 200.50. RNAcentral describes it as "tRNA-Gly (TCC) (tRNA-Gly-TCC-1-1)". It matches the Rfam family "tRNA". From Rfam's summary of the family: Transfer RNA (tRNA) molecules are approximately 80 nucleotides in length. Their secondary structure includes four short double-helical elements and three loops (D, anti-codon, and T loops). Lineage: Eukaryota; Fungi; Ascomycota; Orbiliomycetes; Orbiliales; Orbiliaceae. The record is from RNAcentral.